Molecule: ribosomal RNA, 467 nt
Filed under: uncultured bacterium
Lineage: Bacteria
Description: partial 16S ribosomal RNA
Rfam family: Bacterial small subunit ribosomal RNA
Source: RNAcentral
GACGAACGCUGGCGGCGUGCUUAACACAUGCAAGUCGAACGGAAAGGCCCUGCUUUUGUGGGGUGCUCGAGUGGCGAACGGGUGAGUAACACGUGAGUAACCUGCCCUUGACUUUGGGAUAACUUCAGGAAACUGGGGCUAAUACCGGAUAGGAGCUCCUGCUGCAUGGUGGGGGUUGGAAAGUUUCGGCGGUUGGGGAUGGACUCGCGGCUUAUCAGCUUGUUGGUGGGGUAGUGGCUUACCAAGGCUUUGACGGGUAGCCGGCCUGAGAGGGUGACCGGCCACAUUGGGACUGAGAUACGGCCCAGACUCCUACGGGAGGCAGCAGUGGGGAAUAUUGCACAAUGGGCGGAAGCCUGAUGCAGCAACGCCGCGUGCGGGAGGACGGCCUUCGGGUUGUAAACCGCUUUCGCCUGUGACGAAGCGUGAGUGACGGUAAUGGGUAAAGAAGACCGGCUAACUACGUG